UAGCUCCAAGUCUGAGAUUGCAGCAAUCACUGAUGGCAGAGUGAAGAGAUGGAAAAUAGCAGGAUCCUAGAUGACUUCGUGAGCUGCUGUUCAAGCGACCCCUGCCCCACCUCUGGACUUUGUCAAAUAUGAGUGUGGAGGGAAUUACUGGAUGAAUGAAAAGGAACAUGGUGGCCAUGUGGCCUGUUGCCCCCAAGUACUACUUGGAGACCAGCCUGGCAUGGAAAUGACCAGAUGUUUGAAGCUGAGCCACUGCCAGGUGCCAUGGCAUGAACUGCUCUAGGGGGAGGCCAAUGUAGCAAGCAACUGACAGAGCUGGCAAGGAAAUGAGGCUCUU
Mustela erminea (ermine) is the source of this 337-nucleotide long non-coding RNA. RefSeq lists it as uncharacterized. The record is from RefSeq and is a predicted model, not a curated record. NCBI's taxonomy places the organism in Eukaryota, Metazoa, Chordata, Mammalia, Carnivora, Mustelidae. The transcript is spliced from 3 exons.